UGGGUCGCUCUGAAAAUAAUUUCGUUUUUUCACACGAGUGUCGCUAGUCGACCGUUUAUCCAGCCAACUUCAUUCUAGAGUCGAAAUUAUUGGGUCGCUCGGAAAGUAAUUUCGUUUUCUCGCACGAGUGUCGCUAGUCGAACGUUUAUCCAGCCAACUUCAUUCUAGAGUCGAAAUUAUUGGGUCGCUCGGAAAGUAAUUUCGUUUUCUCGCACGAGUGUCGCUAGUCGAACGUUUAUCCAGCCAACUUCGUUCUAAACCGUGUUAUUACAUAUUUCGAGAGCAUUGGCAUUUCGUCGUCGUUUAUGCAUGAGAAAAAUUCGUUCGAUUCUGUGCGCGAUCGUGUGUGAUAACAAAG
Long non-coding RNA from Apis dorsata (giant honeybee), 358 nucleotides. RefSeq lists it as uncharacterized. The record is from RefSeq and is a predicted model, not a curated record. The transcript is spliced from 3 exons. NCBI's taxonomy places the organism in Eukaryota, Metazoa, Arthropoda, Insecta, Hymenoptera, Apidae.